Transfer RNA from Camelus ferus (Wild Bactrian camel), 73 nucleotides. It matches the Rfam family "tRNA". From Rfam's summary of the family: Transfer RNA (tRNA) molecules are approximately 80 nucleotides in length. Their secondary structure includes four short double-helical elements and three loops (D, anti-codon, and T loops). Lineage: Eukaryota; Metazoa; Chordata; Mammalia; Artiodactyla; Camelidae. The record is from Rfam.
GAGGGUAUAGCUCAAGUGGUAGAGUGCAUGCUUAGCAUGCACAAGGUCCUGGGUUCAAUCCCCAGUACCUCCU